RNAcentral lists this ribosomal RNA (301 nucleotides) under uncultured bacterium. RNAcentral's name for it is "partial 16S ribosomal RNA". It matches the Rfam family "Bacterial small subunit ribosomal RNA", at positions 509 to 808 of the family's 1533-position model. The record is from RNAcentral.
CAGCCGCCGCGGGAAUACGAAGGGUGCAAACGUUGCUCGGAAUUAUUGGGCGUAAAGCGCACGUAGGCGGCUCCGCAAGUCGGAUGUGAAAUCCCUCGGCUUAACCAAGGAAGUGCAUCCGAAACUGCAGAGCUUGGGUACUUAAGAGGAUCGCGGAAUUCCCGGUGUAGAGGUGAAAUUCGUAGAUAUCGGGAGGAACACCAGUGGCGAAGGCGGCGAUCUGGGAAGAUACUGACGCUGAGGCGCGAAAGCGUGGGGAGCAAACAGGAUUAGAUACCCCGUAGUCCCUGUCUCUUAUACA